RNAcentral lists this long non-coding RNA (1753 nucleotides) under Panax ginseng (ginseng). Its description in RNAcentral is "long non-coding RNA (PGIN_LNC013569)". The record is from RNAcentral. Lineage: Eukaryota; Viridiplantae; Streptophyta; Magnoliopsida; Apiales; Araliaceae.
AUCUCUCUCCAAAACUUUCAGACCAAAAAUCCCAAUAACGAUUCCCUCUAUUCCAGAUCAAAUCGAUUCCCCCUAGAUGAUAACUAAAACAACGUAGCUCACAUUCCAGAUCAAAAAUAACGAUUCCCCCUAUUUGAUGAGCAAAAAAAACGGAUUCCCCCCAUUUCAGAUGCAAGCAACCUAGCAAAAUCUGAAUCCCCUCACGGAGACCAAAAAUCGGCAUCUACCUCCUUGAUCUUGGUUUCAAUUCGGUAAACCCUUUGCUAUUUUCCUAGAUUAACUGUAUUUUGUGAAGAUUUCUAGGUUUUUUGUGACACCUUUAAGUCUCUUUGCUAUUUGGGGUUCUUCAGGGAGAUUCUUCAUUUUUCUUUGGACUGAAAUAGGGGGAUAGUACCCUUAUGAGAAUUUCUAUGACAUGUUUUUGAUUUUUCGAUAAAAAAAAUACACAGAAUGGACUGAAAAUUGUAGCCUCCUUGACUUUCUAUGACAUGUAUAAGCUUACUUGAAUAUGUGGCAUUGAUGGGAAGUGCACAAUGAUGGUACUUUUUUGUAUAAGGGAAAAGGAGCAGUAUUUCAGUGAGUUUGGGUCCAUAAUGGACUGAAAAUCGUAGCUUCCUUGUUUAGAUACCAAUUUCAUUUAAAAUUAAUUUGACUGCGAUUAAAUCAAAUGAAUUUUAGGUUUGGGUUUUAUUGAUCAUGAUAGUCACGGGGAAAUCCUGGGCGUUAGUAUAGAUCAUAUAAGAGGGGCUUUGAUUGUGCAUAAGCUUUGGCCGUUUGGGCAUAUUUGAUUUUUUCUUGUUUGGAUUUAUUUAUAUUUUCACAUGUGUCAUGAUGGAAAUUGUGUAGAGCAUGACUUCGCAACUUUAACUUAAUCCUCUGUUUUUUUCUUUUCUUUUGUACUGGAUUGAGGAAGUGCCUGAAUGUAUGUUUCCUCUUGUUAUGACUGAUUUACAGGACUAAUGAUGCAUCAACCUCUCCUGGAUUGUUUUCAAAAAAAAAUAGAAAGAAAUAAAGUUAACUAGAUAGUAUACAUUUACUCAUCAAAUAUUUAUAAUGUUUUAGAAAAAGUGUGAAAUAUUGUUUUCAAAAGUUGAUUUAGCUGGUGUAUGGGUCCCUUUUCAAUUAUAAUAAAAUUGUAACUUGUAGAAGAACCAUUAUCCUUGAGAUUGUAGUUUCUCAGGUUUAAAAUUUUUGGUUUUCACUUUUUAUCUAAAGUGGUUAUUCGAUUUCGUUUCAGGAUGCAAUUAAAGAAUGUGCCUGCCUGAAUGUAGCAGUUAUCUAAAUUUUGGUUUUACCUAUGUAGCAGUUGUCUUCCUGAAUUAUUUACAGUUUAUGCCCCUGCCUAUACAUAUGAAAGACACAACAUGGUGCUGCGGAUUAACUAUUUGGUCCAGUUGAAAGGAUAUUGGAUUGUCUAACAAUGUUUGAUGAUUAACAAUUUGGUCCAGUUGAAAGGAUAUUGGAUUGUCUAACAAUGUUUGAUGGUUUUGUGGCUUGGGCUGUUUUAGUUUUUGGAUAUUUUGGCAUCUGUUGUAUUGGUUUCCUGACUAUUUAUUACAUUAGGUGAUUUUAAUGUGUGAUAAUUUAGUUUUCCUUUCCCUAGUUAUUAUCUUAAGAUCUUUAGGAUGUGAGUUUGUUGAAUGGAGAUAAGGGACUCAACUCUAUUUGUGUAUGAAUGUGUAGGAACAUCUAAAGUACCCUUUAUUGAUUAUUCCUCACUACCAGAAAUAAGCUCUAAAUGUGUUAUAGUGCC